UAACAUUUUAAAAAAUUUCUUAAAUUUUUAAAUAAAAUUUCUCCUAAAUGUAAAAAGACAUUUAUUUAUAAAAAAGACGAUAAGAGCCUAUUGAACUUAACUGUAGUUAAACUGGGGUAGUAAAUUAAUUAUUACUUUAAUUUAUAAUUUAAAAUCUAAAUCUAUUAUAAUUAAUAAUAAAGUUACCAUAGGGAUAACAGAGCAAUAAUAUUUUGGAGUUGUUAUCUUAAAAAUAGUUUACAACCUCGAUGUUGAUUUAAUAUCCUAACUUAAGCAAAAUUAAAUAAUGGAGGUCUGUUUGACCUAUAAAAAAUUACAUGAUUUGAGUUCAAACCGGUGUAAGCUAGGUUUGUUUCUAUCUUUUAAAAAAUUAUUUACAGUAAGAAAGGAACUAAUUAUAUUGAUUAUUAAUUAAUUGGCAGAAAAUUGCAUUAGAAUUAGAAUCUAAAUAAAAUAUA
Molecule: ribosomal RNA, 458 nt
Filed under: Frespera sp. B WPM-2015
Lineage: Eukaryota; Metazoa; Arthropoda; Arachnida; Araneae; Salticidae
Description: partial 16S ribosomal RNA
Rfam family: Bacterial large subunit ribosomal RNA (bases 71-364)
Source: RNAcentral